CAGUCGCCGCGGGAAUACGUAGGGUGCAAGCGUUAAUCGGAAUUACUGGGCGUAAAGCGUGCGCAGGCGGUUCGUUAAGACAGAUGUGAAAUCCCCGGGCUUAACCUGGGAACUGCAUUUGUGACUGGCGGGCUAGAGUAUGGCAGAGGGGGGUAGAAUUCCACGUGUAGCAGUGAAAUACGUAGAGAUGUGGAGGAAUACCGAUGGCGAAGGCAGCCCCCUGGGCCAAUACUGACGCUCAUGCACGAAAGCGUGGGGAGCAAACAGGAUUAGAUACCCGGGUAGUCCCUGUCUCUUAUAC
This 301-nucleotide ribosomal RNA is filed under the name uncultured bacterium. Its description in RNAcentral is "partial 16S ribosomal RNA". It matches the Rfam family "Bacterial small subunit ribosomal RNA", at positions 509 to 807 of the family's 1533-position model. The record is from RNAcentral.